AUUGAACGCUGGCGGCAUGCCUUACACAUGCAAGUCGAACGGCAGCACGGGAGCAAUCCUGGUGGCGAGUGGCGAACGGGUGAGUAAUAUAUCGGAACGUGCCCAGUCGUGGGGGAUAACGUAGCGAAAGCUACGCUAAUACCGCAUACGAUCUAUGGAUGAAAGCGGGGGAUCGCAAGACCUCGCGCGAUUGGAGCGGCCGAUAUCAGAUUAGGUAGUUGGUGAGGUAAAGGCUCACCAAGCCGACGAUCUUUAGCUGGUCUGAGAGGACGACCAGCCACACUGGGACUGAGACACGGCCCAGACUCCUACGGGAGGCAGCAGUGGGGAAUUUUUGGACAAUGGGCGCAAGCCUGAUCCAGCAAUGCCGCGUGCAGGAUGAAGGCCUGUGUA
RNAcentral lists this ribosomal RNA (393 nucleotides) under uncultured bacterium. RNAcentral's name for it is "bacterial SSU rRNA". It matches the Rfam family "Bacterial small subunit ribosomal RNA", at positions 30 to 422 of the family's 1533-position model. The record is from RNAcentral.